RNAcentral lists this ribosomal RNA (473 nucleotides) under uncultured bacterium. RNAcentral describes it as "bacterial SSU rRNA". It matches the Rfam family "Bacterial small subunit ribosomal RNA", at positions 32 to 507 of the family's 1533-position model. The record is from RNAcentral.
GACAACGCUGGCGGCGUGCCUAACACAUGCAAGUCGAACGGGGUAGAGAGCUUCGGUUUUCUACUUAGUGGCGAACGGGUGAGUAACGCGUGAGAAACCUGCCUUUCAGAUGGGGACAACACCUCGAAAGGGGUGCUAAUACCGAAUGACGUUUCCUAGUCGCAUGACCUGGAAACCAAAGGCCCGGGCAACCGGUCACUGAAGGAUGGGCCUGCGUCUGAUUAGCUAGUUGGUGGGGUAACGGCUCACCAAGGCGACGAUCAGUAGCCGGUCUGAGAGGAUGAACGGCCACAUUGGGACUGAGAUACGGCCCAGACUCCUACGGGAGGCAGCAGUGGGGAAUAUUGGGCAAUGGGGGAAACCCUGACCCAGCAACGCCGCGUGAAGGAAGAAGGCCUUCGGGUUGUAAACUUCUUUUACCAGGGACGAAGAACGUGACGGUACCUGGAGAAAAAGCAACGGCUAACUACGUG